Long non-coding RNA from Epinephelus fuscoguttatus (brown-marbled grouper), 1552 nucleotides. RefSeq lists it as uncharacterized. The transcript is spliced from 7 exons. The record is from RefSeq and is a predicted model, not a curated record. NCBI's taxonomy places the organism in Eukaryota, Metazoa, Chordata, Actinopteri, Perciformes, Serranidae.
UUGCUGGUGGUUUAAAACGUCAACUGCCGGUGGAGCUGAAGUUCAUGUUACUGUCAAAAGGAAAACUCUGGGUUGCAAAAACUAAAAGAAGCACAGGAAAGAGAAAAGAAAUACCGGCGGUUUGUCACCCAGUUUGUCACAAAGACAGGUACCAGGCCAAAAUACAGAUGCAGCUUCAUCCUCAGCAGCUCCUAUACACCUUACAAAUGGACCAGCCCUGCUCCCAACUGAAGAAGUAGGUCCCUGCUUCAUGGAGAGGUUGCCUGUCUGGUGUUUUGUCAAGUAGCCCACUGGAAGACUUCCCGAUAUGACUGGCAGCCUCCCACAAUGCCGCAGGAUAUCUGUAACAGAGAGGGACCGGUCAUUGUGAGAAUGCCGGUAUCUGCAUGAACAGGGACUGCUGAGUAACUUGAGGAGGAGACCCUGAGGACUUAUCUGAAGUUGGGCUGUGGGGGCAGCAAACAAAGACGUCCCUCUUCCCAGCAGUACUUUCCAGCUAAUCUUGAGGGACCCCGAGGCAUUGCCAGGCCAGAUGAGAUAUGUAAUCCCUCCAGUGUGUUCUGGGUCUGCCCCAGGGCCUCCUACCAGUGGGACAUGCCCAAACACCUCCAACAGGAGGAGCCCAGGAAGCAUCCUGAUCAGAUGUCCGAACCACCUCAACUGACCCCUUUCGACGUGAAGGAGCAGCGGCUCUAGGCUAAGCCCAGCCACCCUUCUGAGGAAACUCAUUUUGACGGCUUGUAUCCAGGAUCUCAUUUUUUUGGUCACUACCCAGAGCUCAUGACCAUAGAGCCGAGCGUGCCCCGUCACAGCGUGACUCAACCAGCAGAGAGAAACUGCUACAGGACACCACCACCAGGUCGAAUUCAGUCAGAGUUCUGCGUGUGUAAGCGGCUGAUGUUGCUUGCCUCGGAGGAGAGAUGAAGAGUGAGCCACAGAGGUCUGGUGGUUAAAAUAUGUUUUGUUGCUGAACCCGUCCACAGCAGCGGGUUGCUUAGCUUCCAUGUCGGACUCCAGCCUGCUUCUCCCAACUGGGGGCGUGCCACAUAAAACCCCCAACUCAAAAAAUCUGAACUACCUCUUUGACCACAUUAAUGAUGUGGAAACUGCAAACAUUCAUAAUAGACUUUGCAUUAGCAUUGUUGUUUUUUAUCUGGCAAAUAAUUUAAGUGCGUUGUGCCCAACCCACGUAAUAGGUUGUGUUCAUUUCCCGAAUUUCUGUGAGACUGUGUUCAAUUGUAGGCAACAAUACCUUGAGAUACCAUGUCUACCAUACUGGAGAUGCUAUUUUUUAUGUUAUAGUUCUUUAAGUUAUGGUCCACAUUGUAGCUUGAUUUGUGCAAAUAUAAGCUACACUGAGUGUUGAGUUAUAUCCAGUACUUUACACUGAAAUUAUAUUUUCUUUUUACUCUAAAUACUUUAACUUUUGCACAAAGUUGGCCUUUAAAUUUCACUGUGAGUGUUUGAAUGGUGCUACUAAAAGUUUUGUGUGAGAAAGUUAAUAAAUAAAUAAAACACGCAGCAGUAUUGCAUAACUGAGACAGGAAGUCAU